UUCGGGGACAUUGGUGACAGGUGGUGCAUGGUUGUCGUCAGCUCGUGUCGUGAGAUGUUGGGUUAAGUCCCGCAACGAGCGCAACCCUUGUCUUUAGUUGCCAUCAUUAAGUUGGGCACUCUAGAGAGACUGCCAGGGAUAACCUGGAGGAAGGUGGGGAUGACGUCAAAUCAUCAUGCCCCUUAUGCUUAGGGCUACACACGUGCUACAAUGGGUAGUACAGAGGGUUGCCAAGCCGUAAGGUGGAGCUAAUCCCUUAAAGCUACUCUCAGUUCGGAUUGUAGGCUGAAACUCGCCUACAUGAAGCUGGAGUUACUAGUAAUCGCAGAUCAGAAUGCUGCGGUGAAUGCGUUCCCGGGUCUUGUACACACCGCCCGUCACACCACGGGAGUUGGAGACGCCCGAAGCCGAUUAGCUAACCUUUUGGAAGAAGUCGUCGAAGGUGGAAUCAAUAACUGGGGUGAAGUCGUAACAAGGUAGCCGUAUCGGAAGGUGCGGCUGGAUCACCUCCUUUCUAAGGA
RNAcentral lists this ribosomal RNA (521 nucleotides) under Clostridioides difficile. RNAcentral describes it as "bacterial SSU rRNA". It matches the Rfam family "Bacterial small subunit ribosomal RNA", at positions 1018 to 1533 of the family's 1533-position model. Lineage: Bacteria; Bacillati; Bacillota; Clostridia; Peptostreptococcales; Peptostreptococcaceae. The record is from RNAcentral.